CGACCGUGGCGACGCGGCUGUCUGGUCUGCAACUGACGCUGAGGCUCGAAAGCAUGGGUAGCGAACAGGAUUAGAUACCCUGGUAGUCCAUGCCGUAAACGAUGAUUACUAAGUGUUGGAGGGUUUCCGCCCUUCAGUGCUGCAGCUAACGCAUUAAGUAAUCCGCCUGGGGAGUACGACCGCAAGGUUGAAACUCAAAAGAAUUGACGGGGGCCCGCACAAGCGGUGGAGCAUGUGGUUUAAUUCGAAGCUACGCGAAGAACCUUACCAGGUCUUGACAUCUUCUGACAGUCUAAGAGAUUAGAGGUUCCCUUCGGGGACAGAAUGACAGGUGGUGCAUGGUUGUCGUCAGCUCGUGUCGUGAGAUGUUGGGUUAAGUCCCGCAACGAGCGCAACCCCUUAUUACUAGUUGCCAGCAUUAAGUUGGGCACUCUAGUGAGACUGCCGGUGACAAACCGGAGGAAGGUGGGGGACGACGUCAAAUCAUCAUGCCCCCUUAUGACCUGGGGCUACACACGUGCUACAAUGGAUGGUACAACGAGUCGCGAGACCGCGAGGUUAAGCUAAUCUCUUAAAACCAUUCUCAGUUCGGACUGUAGGCUGCAACUCGCCUACACGAAGUCGGAAUCGCUAGUAAUCGCGGAUCAGCAUGCCGCGGUGAAUACGUUCCCGGGCCUUGUACACACCGCCCGUCACACCAUGAGAGUUUGUAACACCCAAAGCCGGUGGGGGUAACCUUUUAGGAGCUAGCCGUCUAAAGUGGGACAGAUGAUAGGGUGAAUCUCGAGGGGGGCCGAAAAAAAAAAAAG
This 809-nucleotide ribosomal RNA is filed under the name Pediococcus pentosaceus. RNAcentral's name for it is "bacterial SSU rRNA". It matches the Rfam family "Bacterial small subunit ribosomal RNA", at positions 707 to 1533 of the family's 1533-position model. The record is from RNAcentral. Lineage: Bacteria; Bacillati; Bacillota; Bacilli; Lactobacillales; Lactobacillaceae.